This 495-nucleotide ribosomal RNA is filed under the name uncultured bacterium. RNAcentral describes it as "partial 16S ribosomal RNA". It matches the Rfam family "Bacterial small subunit ribosomal RNA", at positions 28 to 507 of the family's 1533-position model. The record is from RNAcentral.
GACGAACGCUGGCGGCGUGCCUAAUACAUGCAAGUAGAACGCUGAAGGAGGAGCUUGCUUCUCCGGAUGAGUUGCGAACGGGUGAGUAACGCGUAGGUAACCUGCCUGGUAGCGGGGGAUAACUAUUGGAAACGAUAGCUAAUACCGCAUAACAGUAGAUGUUGCAUGACAUUUGCUUAAAAGGUGCAAUUGCAUCACUACCAGAUGGACCUGCGUUGUAUUAGCUAGUUGGUGAGGUAACGGCUCACCAAGGCGACGAUACAUAGCCGACCUGAGAGGGUGAUCGGCCACACUGGGACUGAGACACGGCCCAGACUCCUACGGGAGGCAGCAGUAGGGAAUCUUCGGCAAUGGACGGAAGUCUGACCGAGCAACGCCGCGUGAGUGAAGAAGGGUUUCGGAUCGUAAAGCUCUGUUGUAAGAGAAGAACGAGUGUGAGAGUGGAAAGUUCACACUGUGACUGUAUCUUACCAGAAAGGGACGGCUAACUACGUG